AUGGACUUGAUCUAGCACGCGCUUUGGCUUUGCCUAGCUUUCUCAACCUUUUUUCCCGGGGGUGAGUUGACUCGCUCCGUUGACCUGCAAAAGCUGCCAAGAGAUGCUUUUGUGAGCAUAUUUGGCGCCUUUGAGGUUAACAGCUUUACUGUCUCGGGUGGAUGAUGGGCAUAUUUUUGACUGAGGAUGGUGCGCAUUAUUGAAUAGAAAUUCUUUGGUCAUGUCAUGUGGGCCACGGCUUUCUUUUUUUUUGUUGUCCGUCGUGCUUAUCUCCUGCUGCUUUAAGUUUGCACAAGGAAAAAAAUGUUUUUCAUGUAGUACUGUGAGCCGUGUAUAAAAAAUUGAAAAGUGUUAGAAAAGUAGUGUUAGAAUAGUAGUAGGAAAAGCCUAGCAGGGAAGACGAGGACACAAGAAGAGGCUGGAAAAGGGCCCGGCCAGGCCACCAUGGCUGGAGAAGUCAAUGGAAGGUUUGCUCUUGGCGUUUGCGGUUUGCCCCCAGCAGCACGAGUCACGGGCCUUCACUGUUCACUUCCAUCGAGCUACUCCAAGCUAGAGACAACAGGAGCCAGACCUUUUCU
This 578-nucleotide long non-coding RNA is filed under the name Setaria viridis. RNAcentral describes it as "long non-coding RNA (SVIR_LNC006369)". The record is from RNAcentral. Lineage: Eukaryota; Viridiplantae; Streptophyta; Magnoliopsida; Poales; Poaceae.